This 72-nucleotide transfer RNA is filed under the name Danio rerio (zebrafish). It matches the Rfam family "tRNA". Rfam says of the family: Transfer RNA (tRNA) molecules are approximately 80 nucleotides in length. Their secondary structure includes four short double-helical elements and three loops (D, anti-codon, and T loops). The record is from Rfam by way of RNAcentral. Lineage: Eukaryota; Metazoa; Chordata; Actinopteri; Cypriniformes; Danionidae.
AGCAGAGUGGCGCAGCAGAAGCGUGCUGGGUCUGUAACCCAGAGGUCGAUGGACCGAAACCAUCCUCUGCUA